ACAGAAACAAUCUUGUGGUUGGACUAGCACUUCCCUAUUCAGCACUACAGAAGAGACAGCACGAAACUAUGGAGUGCGCUCAUGAUUCCUUUGGUGCUGUUAUAGUAGGAAUCUUCUUUGGGUCAGUGGCGGUAAUUUUACUGAUACUCGGGGUCAUUUUUCUACUUCACCAACGAUAUAUCCUUCCAGAGAAAGAGAGGAAAGGGAUGGAAGGAUUAUCAAGCAAGACGCAAGGCUCAGUACUAGUAUACGAGCAUGGGCAAUCUACAAUGAGUUAUUGCUGAAAACGUGGACAUUUGGAUGUGAGUCGGUAUUAUAUAGCCAAAAUGUCAUCUACAAUUUCAAAAGUCUUGCAAUCUUUGGAUGUGCCAGCAGGUGGCAUGGUUGUCACAAUUUCUUAUACAGUCUCUGCAACUUGGCUGUUCAUAGCUGUCUUUUUGCUAUUAUUUUUUCUUAUGUACACUUUUUAUAUUCGUUUUGUUUAUAUAUUAUUAUGAACAUGCAUCAUUUACUUUGUAAAAAGCUGCAUUAUCCAAACGGUAAAAACAUCCAGAUCUGAGGUUGUGUUCCAGGAUUACAGCAAUAGUUACAUCCAUGUCUUGCUUGUCCCUUUAUAUAUAGAGGUUACAAAAUGAAGGGGUAUUCCUCCCACACAUAUUUACCACCUAUCUAUUGAAUUGGUGACAAGUAUUAGAUGGAUGGGGACAUCCACCUUUCACUAGAAUUCCAACUCCAAUCGAACCUAAUUGCAGUUGGGGAAUGGUGCUUCCUCGUCUAUUGAUCAGUAGAGGUUCCUUCAUGGUGCACCACUUUCCAUGGUGUUUAAGGUCAUGUCCAGACAUCAGAAAUUGCCACUGUACCCCUGCAGUGUUACUUUUGCUGUAAUUUGGGGUGAUUUGACAGUAUAUUCUUCUUCUUCCUGAACAUCAUUUAUGGAUCCAUUUAGAUUGUGCCACUUUCUUUAAUAAAUUUAAUGGUCAGACUUAGAAAUUGGCUCCUGUACCCUUACAGUGUUGAUUUUUCAGACUUUGUGGGUGAUUAAAUGGUGUUCUUUGUGAUGGUGCAAUAAGACACUAGUUUGCGGGCAAGAACUCCAGAAGAAAAGGGCAUGAUCUUUGUAAUUUUGGGAUGAACAUAUUGGGACAACUUGAUUGACUCAUGGCUAGUGAACUUCGGGCAAAAUAUAGUCAAUAUGUCCAGAAUAGCCACCUCUGUUAGCAGUACAGGUUCAAGAAGGGAGCAGAGAACAGUGUGGUGCAGAGCACUGAAGAGAACCAGCAGAAGUAGUGGCUCUAGAAAAGUGGAGCAGCUCCAGAACAGUGGAUUUUACCAGCUCCAGAUUAGUCAAAUCACUAAAGCAGACCAGAGAGUUAGAUACUGCAUGGAUCGUCCAGUCAUUGAGAGAAGCAGCAAAACUACCUGUAACAUGUCUGUAGAGGAGUUCAGCAAAAAUCAGGAGGCACCUAGUGCUCCAAUGUCCUGAUUAAGAAUUCAGAGACUGUGUUGUCAUAAUGUAAUAGAGUCUAUGAUGUGUAAAGAACUCCAAAGGCUGUUAAAGGAGCCACUCCUGUGCACUCCCCUGGUGCACUCUGCUAUGUUCUAAAACUGUUCCAUAUUGGUUAUUUUACUAUUGUUC
Molecule: long non-coding RNA, 1636 nt
Organism: Bufo bufo (common toad)
Lineage: Eukaryota; Metazoa; Chordata; Amphibia; Anura; Bufonidae
Exons: 5
Source: RefSeq, a predicted model, not a curated record